Non-coding RNA from Mycena rosella, 89 nucleotides. The record is from the annotation of a GenBank genome assembly. NCBI's taxonomy places the organism in Eukaryota, Fungi, Basidiomycota, Agaricomycetes, Agaricales, Mycenaceae.
GUCUUCGUGGAGCAAGGACAAUUGUUCCCUCUAUGUGCACUUCAGCCAAAAAUGUGGGAAAGCUGGUGGUUCGACUCCACCCGAAGACA